GACGAACGCUGGCGGUGUGCUUAACACAUGCAAGUCGAGCGGUAAGGCCCUUUCGGGGGUACACGAGCGGCGAACGGGUGAGUAACACGUGGGUGACCUGCCCUCAGCUCUGGGAUAAGCCUGGGAAACCGGGUCUAAUACUGGAUAUGACUCCAUGACGCAUGUUGUGGGGUGGAAAGCCUUGUGCGGCUGAGGAUGGGCCCGCGGCCUAUCAGCUUGUUGGUGGGGUGANGGCCUACCAAGGCGACGACGGGUAGCCGGCCUGAGAGGGCGACCGGCCACACUGGGACUGAGACACGGCCCAGACUCCUACGGGAGGCAGCAGUGGGGAAUCUUGCGCAAUGGGCGAAAGCCUGACGCAGCGACGCCGCGUGAGGGAUGACGGCCUGGUGUAA
This 395-nucleotide ribosomal RNA is filed under the name uncultured bacterium. Its description in RNAcentral is "bacterial SSU rRNA". It matches the Rfam family "Bacterial small subunit ribosomal RNA", at positions 28 to 428 of the family's 1533-position model. The record is from RNAcentral.